GACGGCCGAGCCUCUGCCACACUCCCAAGUUUUGUCGACGAGCAGGACCCCGCCAGCGCCAACCGGAUUCUUCGCGACGUCCGGACUCCUACGGGAGCCAGAUCUCGUCUCCGACUCCAGCCACAGGAAGGCUUCACCCGGACUCCUACGGGAGCCGAGCUCCGCCCGCGACUUCACUUACAGGUAAACUCCGUCCGGACUCCUACGGG
RNAcentral lists this long non-coding RNA (209 nucleotides) under Elaeis guineensis (African oil palm). RNAcentral's name for it is "long non-coding RNA (EGUI_LNC069933)". Lineage: Eukaryota; Viridiplantae; Streptophyta; Magnoliopsida; Arecales; Arecaceae. The record is from RNAcentral.